This 252-nucleotide ribosomal RNA is filed under the name uncultured bacterium. RNAcentral's name for it is "partial 16S ribosomal RNA". It matches the Rfam family "Bacterial small subunit ribosomal RNA", at positions 524 to 776 of the family's 1533-position model. The record is from RNAcentral.
UACGGGGGGGUAAGCGUUGUUCGGAAUUACUGGGCGUAAAGGGCUCGUAGGCGGCCAACUAAGUCAGACGUGAAAUCCCUCAGCUUAACUGGGGAACUGCGUCUGAUACUGGAUGGCUUGGAUCCGGGAGAGGGAUGCGGAAUUCCAGGUUUAGCGGUGAAAUGCGUAGAUAUCUGGAGGAACACCGGUGGCGAAGGCGGCAUCCUGGACCGGUAUUGACGCUGAGGAGCGAAAGCCAGGGGAGCAAACGGG